Long non-coding RNA from Hyaena hyaena (striped hyena), 815 nucleotides. RefSeq lists it as uncharacterized. The record is from RefSeq and is a predicted model, not a curated record. The transcript has 3 exons. Lineage: Eukaryota; Metazoa; Chordata; Mammalia; Carnivora; Hyaenidae.
ACCUGUGAGGUCAACCAUCAUCCCUCCUGGCUGGAUGAAAUCUGAAGCUGCUGGUGCCUCAGGGUGCCCCAGGCUCUGCUCGUCAAAGCUGUGUGUUACUGAGAAACAGGUGCCCACCCUGGACCUCAGAGGAUGUGGAAGGGCACUGAGAAGCCGCGUGAAGAUUCAGUACUGCUGAUCGUCAAGGAGUAACAGCUGCUGGCCCCAGUCCUUGCAUGGUCUUUCCUCCCUUGUGGGCCUGGAAGUCCAGUGGGAAAGACAGCAGUGGAAUAAAAACAGGGUGUCUGGGUCCCAGAUUCCACUAGAGGAUCAGGGAGACCCCUUGGAGGAAACGCCAUCAACACAAGUUAAGCAGACAGAAGUUCGGGAAAAGCAUCUCCAGAGAGAAUACAUGUGCAAAGGCCCAGGGGUGCCUGGAAACACUUGGAAGAAGCCAAGGGCUGGAGAAAAGGUCCGGAGAGGGAGAGAGAAGACAGGGCCAGACAGCAGCAUUAAGCCAGGAAAGCCGGGAGGGGCUGGGAAGGGUCCGGGGAUGCCGAGACCCCGGUCGCAGGGAGGCGGCCAGCUGUCUGCAGACUCCUUUUGUGCCAGAGGAACGCGCUGAACGCCAUGUGCAAAGUGACAGGCCGUCUGGGACGUGCUGCGAGAUGGGGGUGUGGGGCUACAGAUGGAGCUGAGAGCUGACAAAUGCUGAAGUUGGGGGAUCGUUCUGUCAUUUUCCCUAGAUCUGGGGAUGUUUGAAAUUUUCCAUAAUAAAGAGUUACGCAGGAAAAAAUAGUCCAAGACGACCACGGUGCGGGGUGCCGCGGAGGUAA